UACGUAGGGCGCAAGCGUUAUCCGGAAUUAUGGGGCGUAAAGAGCUUGUAGGCGGUCUGUCGCGUCUGCUGUGAAAAUCCGGGGCUCAACCCCGGACUUGCAGUGGGUACGGGCAGACUAGAGUGUGGUAGGGGAGACUGGAAUUCCUGGUGUAGCGGUGAAAUGCGCAGAUAUCAGGAGGAACACCGGUGGCGAAGGCGGGUCUCUGGGCAAUAACUGACGCUGAGGAGCGAAAGCGUGGGGAGCGAACAGG
Molecule: ribosomal RNA, 253 nt
Filed under: uncultured bacterium
Lineage: Bacteria
Description: partial 16S ribosomal RNA
Rfam family: Bacterial small subunit ribosomal RNA
Source: RNAcentral